Schistosoma haematobium is the source of this 45-nucleotide non-coding RNA. NCBI's taxonomy places the organism in Eukaryota, Metazoa, Platyhelminthes, Trematoda, Strigeidida, Schistosomatidae. The record is from Rfam.
AUCCAGCUGACGAGUCCCAAAUGGGACGAAACUCGCGCCCUAGAU